AUUUAAUAGCGCGGUAAAUAUUGUCACUGAGAGUCAUUUUUUGUGCUCGUUUUUCUCUCCCAAUCAAUCAGUUCCUCAAUGGGAUUUUUUUUUCGGGUCUCCUUUGCCCAGGUGACCACAGAGAUCCAAUACGGGUUUUCUCUCAAACCACAUGACAAAAACUGUCUACAUAACAAGGCACAGCCGAAACUCGCAUGGUUUUAACACAUCGGGCAGCUAUGCCAACCUUCCCAUCAAUUUCUGACAGUAGGAGGCGAUGCUGAGUGUCAGCGGCAGGAGGCACGACGUCUUCCACGGCUGAUCUGCGCAACUGAGAUCAGCAGAUUUUCUUUUACAGUCUAUUUAAUUCACAAAUAAAUGCACCUUUAUCAUA
This is a long non-coding RNA of Pundamilia nyererei, 373 nucleotides long. RefSeq lists it as uncharacterized. NCBI's taxonomy places the organism in Eukaryota, Metazoa, Chordata, Actinopteri, Cichliformes, Cichlidae. The transcript is spliced from 2 exons. The record is from RefSeq and is a predicted model, not a curated record.